RNAcentral lists this ribosomal RNA (468 nucleotides) under uncultured bacterium. Its description in RNAcentral is "partial 16S ribosomal RNA". It matches the Rfam family "Bacterial small subunit ribosomal RNA", at positions 28 to 507 of the family's 1533-position model. The record is from RNAcentral.
GACGAACGCUGGCGGCGUGCUUAACACAUGCAAGUCGAACGGAAAGGCCCUGCUUUUGUGGGGUGCUCGAGUGACGAACGGGUGAGUAACACGUGAGUAACCUGCCCUUGACUUUGGGAUAACUUCAGGAAACUGGAGCUAAUACCGGAUAGGAGCUCCUGCUGCAUGGUGGGGGUUGGAAAGUUUCGGCGGUUGGGGAUGGACUCGCGGCUUAUCAGCUUGUUGGUGGGGUAGUGGCUUACCAAGGCUUUGACGGGUAGCCGGCCUGAGAGGGUGACCGGCCACAUUGGGACUGAGAUACGGCCCAGACUCCUACGGGAGGCAGCAGUGGGGAAUAUUGCACAAUGGGCGGAAGCCUGAUGCAGCAACGCCGCGUGCGGGAUGACGGCCUUCGGGUUGUAAACCGCUUUCGCCUGUGACGAAGCGUGAGUGACGGUAAUGGGUAAAGAAGCACCGGCUAACUACGUG